UAAAGCAAGAAAGGGCGUAUGGGGAAUGCCUAGGCACACUCCGGCGAAGAAGGACGCAGCAAACAGCGAAAUGCGACGGUGAGCGGUAAGCACGUGAAGAGCCGUCGAUAUCCGAAUGGGGGAACCCACACGGAGUCAUAUCCGUGUAUCACAUGUCGAAUACAUAGACAUGAUGAGGCGAGACGCAGGGAACUGAAACAUCUAAGUACCUGCAGGAAGAGAAAAUAAGAAUGAUUUUCUGAGUAGCGGCGAGCGAAAGGGAAAGAGCCCAAACCGAUUUUAGGAUCGGGGUAGUAGGAUCAUCGAGGAAUCUGACAGAGGAUCAUAGAGGAAUCACAUGGGAAGGUGAGCGAGAGAGGGUGAGAGCCCCGUACUCGAAAUGAGAGACUGGAGAGAGAUGACACCUGAGUAGGGCGGGACACGAGAAAUCCUGUCUGAAUCAGCCGGGACCAUCCGGCAAGGCUAAAUACGAGAGAGUGACCGAUAGUGAACCAGUACCGUGAGGGAAAGGUGAAAAGAACCCCGGGAGGGGAGUGAAAGAGAACCUGAAACCAUAUGCCUACAAGAAGUCAGAGCCCGUUAAAGGGUGAUGGCGUGCCUUUUGUAGAAUGAACCGGCGAGUUACUGUAUGGAGCGAGGUUAAGCAGGAUAUGCGGAGCCGAAGCGAAAGCGAGUCUUAAGAGGGCGCGAGUUGCAUGCAGUAGACCCGAAACCGGGUGAUCUAGCCAUGACCAGGUUGAAGUUGGGGUAAAACCCGAUGGAGGACCGAACCGACCCCCGUUGAAACGUUGGCGGAUGAGUUGUGGCUAGGGGUGAAAUUCCAAUCGAACCCGGAGAUAGCUGGUUCUCCCCGAAAUAGCUUUAGGGCUAGCGUCGAGAGAAGAGUUGCGUGAAGGUAGAGCACUGAAUAUGUGAUGGCCCCAUCUCGGGGUACUGAGCAUAAUCAAACUGCGAAUGUCACGCCAACAUGCUCGGCAGUCAGACAGCGGGUGAUAAGGUCCGUUGUCAAGAGGGAAACAGCCCAGACCAUCAGCUAAGGUCCCAAAAUGUAUGCUAAGUGGAAAAGGAUGUGGAGAUGUACAGACAACUAGGAGGUUGGCUCAGAAGCAGCCAUCCUUUAAAGAGUGCGUAACAGCUCACUAGUCGAAUGACUCUGCGCCGAUAAUUUACCGGGGCUAAGCAUACUACCGAAGCUAUGGAUCCCAAGGGAUGGUAGGGGAGCGUUCCAUGAACGGAGAAGUACGACCGAAAGGACGUGUGGAGAUCAUGGAAGAGAGAAUGCCGGUGUGAGUAGCGGAACGUGGGUGAGAAUCCCACGCACCGAAAACCCAAGGUUUCCAGAGGAAGGUUCGUCCGCUCUGGGUAAGUCGGGACCUAAGGCGAGGCCGAAAGGCGUAGUCGAUGGACAACAGGUAGAGAUUCCUGUACCCGUAUAUAUGUGAAGGAAUGACGGAGAGAGGAAGCUGCAGCCAGCGGCUGGAAGAGCUGGUGCAAGCGAGAUAUCGGGAUGGCAGGCAAAUCCACCAUCCGAAACGAGAAGGCGUGAAGCGUACGGAAAGCUACGGCGAGUACGGAAGGCAGUGGAGGAACUUCCAAGAAAAGUUUCUAACGUUAAGUAUAUAUGGCCCGUACCGAAAAUGGACACACAUGGGUGAGGAGAGAAUCCUAAGGUGAGCGAGAGAACUAUAGCUAAGGAACUCUGCAAAAUGACUCCGUAACUUAGGGAGAAGGAGUGCUCAUAGAGAUAUGAGCCGCAGUGAAACGGCCCAAGCGACUGUUUACCAAAAACACAGCUCUCUGCUAAGCCGCAAGGCGAAGUAUAGGGGGUGACGCCUGCCCGGUGCUGGAAGGUUAAGGGGAGGGGUUAACGCAAGUGAAGCCCUGAACUGAAGCCCCAGUAAACGGCGGCCGUAACUAUAACGGUCCUAAGGUAGCGAAAUUCCUUGUCAGGUAAGUUCUGACCCGCACGAA
RNAcentral lists this ribosomal RNA (1971 nucleotides) under human gut metagenome. Its description in RNAcentral is "bacterial LSU rRNA". It matches the Rfam family "Bacterial large subunit ribosomal RNA", at positions 1 to 1996 of the family's 2925-position model. The record is from RNAcentral.